CCCCUGCACUGAGGGAUUUUAAAAGGUGCAAAGCAGCGAGCCGUCCAGUGACUCUUCACAAGAAAAUGAAAACUGCUGGGGGUAGUUAUGGACAAUAUGGGGCAGCUGGUCUUAAUUCCAUUCCUGGCAUAGACCUGAGAACCCACGUUCGUUUUGUGUGUUGUUACACGGGAGAACUCCUGUGCUCUCCGAACACUUUAAGCUGGAAAAAAAAAAAAAAUGAGAUUCUUUCGUCAGAUUGGUUUUGUUAAAUGUUUUAAAAAUUUGGUGAGCUUAUUUUUAACUUGACGAUUUGGUUGGCUUUCGGAAAGUUAGGUAUGUCUUUCAGGAAGAAGCCCUGCAUUGGAAUCGUUUUCUUUUUGAACAGUCCGCUGUUUAACGGUGGAGCUUACAAAGGAUCAUAGAUAAUUUCUUUCUUCCCCUCACAGAAAUACAUGCUCAAAAGUGAGGGUUUUAAAGGCAAAUGAAGGCAAACCGAGGAACCUUUUCAGUACACGUAUUGCCAUGUCAUUGUGCCAUCUUCUGGAGCAGAGGCUACAGGGAGACUGGUGUCGCUGCAACUCACAUGUCCCAGCAAGCUGCUGCUUACGACUCCUUUGCUUUGCUUCCCAGAGCUGCGUGCAUGCACUCAGGGCCUCUCUUGUGCCCAAAGAACUCUGUUGCAGCCAAGCUGUAGGAACUGUCCAGUCAUCAGAGGGAAGACGUCUCCGUUUCUACAUAAAUGCUACCUGCGCAUGUCAGGUCAUUGUGUUCCGGCACAGUCUUUGGGAGCUGACACCGACACUUGAGCAGAUCUGCGUCUUCUGGUUUUUGUGGGAUCAGCGAUAGCAUGUGACUCCUCUAGUAGAGGACUAAGAUUUCCCUGGUUUUCCACUGCACCCAAUGGUGACCUGCUGACUUUGGGUAUCUCUCACGUUAAGACGGCAGAGGCAGCUGCACCAAAUCUCCUCUCAUCAUUAUCCCAGAUGGAUGAGAGCUCUUCCCAGCUGCUGGUGUUCUGUCACUUUCUUUGGUGUGGGCUGUCCUGGAAGGUGUGUGAACUUCGAUGGGGUCACUCUCUGAAGCUGAGGCUGACCCUGAAGAGGCUGACAGAGGCUGUCUGUUCACUGUGCUGCCCACACCUGGCCAGCAAGUUCCACCUUGAAGAAGCAUCUUGACAUCAGAUAGCCUGCCAUACGUCGUGUCUAGACAAGAUUGGAAAAAAUGAGAUCGGUUACCUCCGGGCAUCCUCUGAUCUCACCAGAGUGAUCGGUUACCUCCGGGCAUCCUCUGAUCUCACCAGAGUAAGAACUCCAUUCACUACAUAAGUGUCUCAUGUGCUACCAGAUGUGUAGAAAGCCGAAAGCACCAAGUGGCACCGGUCAUUGCCGUGAGCUGCUUGGAAAGUCAACUCUGAGAUGGAGAUGAGCAUCCAGGAGUUUGUUGGGGCGUGUUCUUGGGACCACCCACUCUGGGAGGGGAGCGAGGAAGGUGGCCUGGGCAGAAGGAGAAGCUGGCCUGUGAGGAGGGCCUCAACACAAGCCAACCCAAGCUCCCGUGGGGAGCCUCGAAGCCGGGCCAGGUCUUUCUACCUCUCCGUAAACAAGUCAUUGAACCUGGGCACCCUGGGAAGAGGAUGUGGCCAUGUUGAGAUGCCACUUUUCAUCUGAAGCAAGUCUGAGGAGGGCUGAUGGCUGGGGCUUUCUCCGGAAGCCCUCCUGGAAGCUUCAGGAAUAAUCCUGAUGGGUCUCUGAGGGGUACCUCACAGCAUCCCCACUGGAAGCGGACUGAGCCUGUCCCGGCUAACUUAGGCCACUGGUACCGUUGCCGCUGCUGCUGCCACCCCUGCUGUUACUUAAAGAAUCCUGAACAAAUGCUGAAAAGAGGUCACGCCUGAGACAGCAGCUAUACACGCGGCUGUCCCUGAGCAAAUCAGGAGGCAGCCACCUUGUCUGUAGCAGAGUUCAAGGCAUGAUUUCCAGGAGAAAGGACGACUUAACAUUUACCAGCCUUGAAAGGAUAGAGAGGUUCUGUCAUCUACAGUGGAGCUACAGAUGGCAGAAAAGAUCAAAGGAUGAUGAGGACUCUCAGGAGAAGCUGAUAAGGGAGACGGUUCUGGGACUCUUAGAUGUUGUAGACCUGGUAUUUCUGCUGUUGACAAGGUGCCUUGUGCAACCCUCAUGGACAGAUAAGUACAAUUUGAAACUUGUUAAAAUUUUAUACUCAAGUGUGCUAAUUAAUGAGUUCAUGACAAUCUGGAUGGGUUUUUGGUGGCAUGCUCUGAUCUGUUCCACAGUUUCACCAGCUUAUUAAGUUCUCAGAUGACGAAGAUCUAGUUUCCAGAUGAUAGAGAUCUAGGUGGGAUGGAAAACAUGGCAGAUGGCAGAUGACGAAAAGAUCUCGACAAGUUAAAGUGAUGGACUGCAUCUAAUAGGACAAAAUGCAGUAGUAAUAAAAACAAUAUUCUGCAUCAGAGUUUCAUUUCUAAUUGGACAAAUACAGAAAGAAAAUGUGAUGCUUAGUAGCAGUUCAGGCACAGGGAAAGGCAAUGCAUCAUGAGUUAAUGAGGCCGCCGGAGGGAUUCAUGAGUGUGUAUCAACAGAAGUAUAGUAUCUAAAACAAGGCAGAGACUGGGACUGCCCUGGUGUGCUUUUUGUGCUUCAGUGUGUGCAGACAAGGGACAUAGGCAAACUGGGCCAUGUGGCUAAACUAGAGGUGCUUCGUCAUAGGAUAAGCUGACACAUGCAUUAAGAGCUAUCGAA
Prionailurus viverrinus (fishing cat) is the source of this 2741-nucleotide long non-coding RNA. RefSeq lists it as uncharacterized. The transcript has 6 exons. Lineage: Eukaryota; Metazoa; Chordata; Mammalia; Carnivora; Felidae. The record is from RefSeq and is a predicted model, not a curated record.